Molecule: long non-coding RNA, 1201 nt
Filed under: Homo sapiens (human)
Lineage: Eukaryota; Metazoa; Chordata; Mammalia; Primates; Hominidae
Description: HSALNT0100850
Source: RNAcentral
CUGUUUAAGAAAAUAAAAUAAUCAGAAAAAUCUAAAUGCAAUAAAGGAAGUAAAACAUGUAACAUUACUUAAAACAGUUACUCUAACAGAUUGAAUAUAGCCUUCCCAUCACUUAGAAGACUCAACAAAUUCAUAUGUAACUGCAAUAUUCUGUGGCAGGGACUCAACAUUGUUAUUUUCUCACAUGAAAUAAAGUCUCUGGGCCAGGUGAGAUGGCGUAUGCCUGUGGUCCCAGGUACUCGGGGGCUGAGGCAGGAGGACUGCUUGAACCCAGGACUUGUGAGUCCAGCCUAGCAAACAUAGCGAGAUCCACACCCCUUUAAAAAAAGUCACCGACUUUGCCAAAGUUGUCCCCUGAAUUUUCUUCUGGGGUAGGGGUGGUGGUGUGAGGACCCAGAGAGUAAAAUAAAAAUGAGAUAAAACGUGCAGAAAGAAACAAAGCUCACAGCAUUCUUACGCCAACAAGCUUUACCUUCUGUUGUUUGCAAUCCUUCAAAACAAGGAAGGAAGAGUACAGCGGCAGCUGCAGAAGCAGGUCAUUUUAAGAACUAGAUCGGAACAAAAGUUAAAUUCAUGUUCUAAAAUGACAGUGGUGCCGGGUGCGGUGGCUCACACCUGUAAUCUCAGCACUUUGGCAGGCCAACCGAGGCAGAUCACCUGAGAUCAGGAGUUCAAGACCAGCCUGGCCAACAUGGAGAAACCCCCUCUCUACUAAAAAUACAAAAUUAGCCGGGUAUGGUUGCGCAUGCCUGUAAUCACAGCUACUCAGGUGGCUGAGGCAGGAGAAUCACUUGUGCCCAGAAGGCAGAGGUUGUGAUGAGCCGAGAUCACUCCAGCCUGAGCAACAAGAGCGAAACUCCCACCUCAAAAAAAAAAAAAAAGACAGUGGGCUGGAAACCAAUUUCUUCAUAAUAAAUGGGAUGGUCACUUUAGGUAUGAAAAUAUUUUUAUGUUGUGGUCUUGAAAUAAUUUUAUCAGUUCACAAUUUCAGUUUUCAAAUGCAUUAGACUCACUGGGGCAAUACACAGCUAUUCUUCACAAAGGUAGUACAUUGUCAAAACUGUCACUUAUUGCUAAACUGUAAUUAUGUAAGUUUUACUUCAAGAUCCUUCAAUUUGCAUUCCUCUAUUGAUAAUUUCAGGAAUAAUACACAGAUUAAAAAAAAAGUGGUACAGGUGAAUUUAAAAGAAGGAACUAAAAC